This 497-nucleotide ribosomal RNA is filed under the name uncultured bacterium. RNAcentral's name for it is "partial 16S ribosomal RNA". It matches the Rfam family "Bacterial small subunit ribosomal RNA", at positions 28 to 507 of the family's 1533-position model. The record is from RNAcentral.
GAUGAACGCUGGCGGCGUGCCUAACACAUGCAAGUCGAGCGAACAGACGAUGAGCUUGCUCCUUUGACGUUAGCGACGGACGGGUGAGUAACACGUAGGUAACCUACCUCUAAUACUGGGAUAAUUUCGGGAAACCGGAGCCAAUACUAGCUAAUAUUUCGUACCGCAUGGUUCGAUAGUGAUUGAUGCCUUUGCUAUCACUUAUAGACGAACUUGCGCCGUAUUAGCUAGUUGGUAAGGUAACGGCUUACCAAGGCAACGAUACGUAGCCGACCUGAGAGGGUGAUCAGCCACACUGGAACUGAGACACGGUCCAGACUCCUACGGGAGGCAGCAGUAGGGAAUAUUCCGCAAUGGGCGAAAGCCUGACGGAGCAACGCCGCGUGAGUGAUGAAGGUCUUCGGAUCGUAAAACUCUGUUAUUAGGAAAGAACAGAAGUGGAAGUAACUGUGGACGUCUUGACGGUACCUAAAGAGAAAGCAACGGCUAACUUCGUG